GAUGAACGCUGGCGGUGGGCUUAACACAUGCAAGUCGAACGGAAAGGCCCUGCUUGUUUGGUGUGAUCGGGUGGCGAAAGCGUGAGUAACAAGUGAGUAACCUGCUCUUGACUUUGGGAUAACUUCAGGAAACUGGGCCUAAUAACGGAUAGGAGCUCCUGCUCGAUGGUGGGGGUUGGAAAUUUUCGGCGGUUGGGGUUGGACUCGCGGCUUUUCAGCUUGUUGGUGGGGUGGUGGCUUACCAAGGGUUUGACGGGUACCCGGCCUGGGAGGGGGACCGGCCACAUUGGGACUGAGAUACGGCCCAGACUCCUACGGGAGGCAGCAGUGGCGAAUAUUGCACAAUGGGCGGAAGCCUGAUGCAGCAACGCCGCGUGCGGGAUGACGGCCUUCGGGUUGUAAACCGCUGCAGCCUGUGACGAAGCGUUAGUGACGGUAAUGAGUAAAGAAGCACCGGCUAACUACGUG
RNAcentral lists this ribosomal RNA (468 nucleotides) under uncultured bacterium. Its description in RNAcentral is "partial 16S ribosomal RNA". It matches the Rfam family "Bacterial small subunit ribosomal RNA", at positions 28 to 507 of the family's 1533-position model. The record is from RNAcentral.